UCCUGGUUAGCUCAGUUGGUAGAGCGAUCCACCGGAAUUGGAGAGGUCCGUGGUUCGACACCGGGUCCGGCGG
RNAcentral lists this transfer RNA (73 nucleotides) under Ixodes scapularis (black-legged tick). RNAcentral's name for it is "tRNA-Ser for anticodon GGA". The record is from RNAcentral. Lineage: Eukaryota; Metazoa; Arthropoda; Arachnida; Ixodida; Ixodidae.